This 301-nucleotide ribosomal RNA is filed under the name uncultured bacterium. RNAcentral's name for it is "partial 16S ribosomal RNA". It matches the Rfam family "Bacterial small subunit ribosomal RNA", at positions 509 to 810 of the family's 1533-position model. The record is from RNAcentral.
CAGCCGCCGCGGUAAUACGUAGGUCCCGAGCGUUGUCCGGAUUUAUUGGGCGUAAAGCGAGCGCAGGCGGUUAGAUAAGUCUGAAGUUAAAGGCUGUGGCUUAACCAUAGUACACUUCGGAAACUGUUUAACUUGAGUGCAGAAGGGGAGAGUGGAAUUCCAUGUGUAGCGGUGAAAUGCGUAGAUAUAUGGAGGAACACCGGUGGCGAAAGCGGCUCUCUGGUCUGUAGCUGACGCUGAGGCUCGAAAGCGUGGGGAGCGAACAGGAUUAGAUACCCGCGUAGUCCCUGUCUCUUAUACU